RNAcentral lists this non-coding RNA (28 nucleotides) under Bombyx mori (domestic silkworm). Lineage: Eukaryota; Metazoa; Arthropoda; Insecta; Lepidoptera; Bombycidae. The record is from RNAcentral.
UGUAUACGAUCGAUCGCCUUUUAUGCCU